This 588-nucleotide ribosomal RNA is filed under the name uncultured Bacteroidales bacterium. Its description in RNAcentral is "bacterial SSU rRNA". It matches the Rfam family "Bacterial small subunit ribosomal RNA", at positions 92 to 679 of the family's 1533-position model. Lineage: Bacteria; Pseudomonadati; Bacteroidota; Bacteroidia; Bacteroidales. The record is from RNAcentral.
CGACCGGCGCACGGGUGAGUAACACGUAUCCAACCUGCCGAUAACUCGGGGAUAGCCUUUCGAAAGAAAGAUUAAUACCCGAUGGUAUAAUUAGACCGCAUGGUCUUGUUAUUAAAGAAUUUCGGUUAUCGAUGGGGAUGCGUUCCAUUAGGCAGUUGGUGAGGUAACGGUUCACCAAACCUUCGAUGGAUAGGGGUUCUGAGAGGAAGGUCCCCCACAUUGGAACUGAGACACGGUCCAAACUCCUACGGGAGGCAGCAGUGAGGAAUAUUGGUCAAUGGGCGCAGGCCUGAACCAGCCAAGUAGCGUGAAGGAUGACUGCCCUAUGGGUUGUAAACUUCUUUUAUAUGGGAAUAAAGUUUUCCACGUGUGGAAUUUUGUAUGUACCAUAUGAAUAAGGAUCGGCUAACUCCGUGCCAGCAGCCGCGGUAAUACGGAGGAUCCGAGCGUUAUCCGGAUUUAUUGGGUUUAAAGGGAGCGUAGGUGGACAGUUAAGUCAGUUGUGAAAGUUUGCGGCUCAACCGUAAAAUUGCAGUUGAUACUGGCUGUCUUGAGUACAGUAGAGGUGGGCGGAAUUCGUGGUGUAGC